RNAcentral lists this ribosomal RNA (521 nucleotides) under uncultured bacterium. Its description in RNAcentral is "bacterial SSU rRNA". It matches the Rfam family "Bacterial small subunit ribosomal RNA", at positions 8 to 518 of the family's 1533-position model. The record is from RNAcentral.
AGAGUUGAUCAUGGCUACAGGACGACGCUGGCGGCGUGCUUAACACAUGCAAGUCGAACGAGGAUAUGUCAGAGGAGAGCUUCGGCAGGAAUCGGGCAUAUUCGAGUGGCGGACGGGUGAGUAACGCGUGAGCAACCUGUCCCAGACAGGGGGAUAACACUUGGAAACAGGUGCUAAUACCGCAUAAGACCACGGUAUCACAUGGUAUUGGGGGUAAAAGGAGCAAUCCGGUUUGGGGUGGGCUCGCGUCCGAUUUAGAUAGUUGGUGAGGUAACGGCCCACCAAGUCGACGAUCGGUAGCCGACCUGAGAGGGUGAUCGGCCACAUUGGAACUGAGAGACGGUCCAAACUCCUACGGGGAGGCAGCAGUGGGGAAUAUUGGGCAAUGGGCGAAAGCCUGAACCCCCAGCAACGCCGCGUGAGUGAAGAAGGCCUUCGGGUUGUAAAGCUCUGUUAUAGUUGACGAAGGAAGUGACGGUAGGCUAUAAGGAAGCCCCGGCUAACUACGUGCCAGCCGCAGC